RNAcentral lists this ribosomal RNA (489 nucleotides) under uncultured bacterium. RNAcentral's name for it is "partial 16S ribosomal RNA". It matches the Rfam family "Bacterial small subunit ribosomal RNA", at positions 28 to 507 of the family's 1533-position model. The record is from RNAcentral.
GAUGAACGCUAGCUACAGGCUUAACACAUGCAAGUCGAGGGGCAGCAUGGUCUUAGCUUGCUAAGGCCGAUGGCGACCGGCGCACGGGUGAGUAACACGUAUCCAACCUGCCGUCUACUCUUGGACAGCCUUCUGAAAGGAAGAUUAAUACAAGAUGGCAUCAUGAGUCCGCAUGUUCACAUGAUUAAAGGUAUUCCGGUAGACGAUGGGGAUGCGUUCCAUUAGAUAGUAGGCGGGGUAACGGCCCACCUAGUCUUCGAUGGAUAGGGGUUCUGAGAGGAAGGUCCCCCACAUUGGAACUGAGACACGGUCCAAACUCCUACGGGAGGCAGCAGUGAGGAAUAUUGGUCAAUGGGCGCAGGCCUGAACCAGCCAAGUAGCGUGAAGGAUGACUGCCCUAUGGGUUGUAAACUUCUUUUUAAAGGAAUAAAGUCGGGUAUGGAUACCCGUUUGCAUGUACUUUAUGAAUAAGGAGCGGCUAACUCCGUG